This is a non-coding RNA of Perca fluviatilis (European perch), 80 nucleotides long. The record is from the annotation of a RefSeq genome assembly. Lineage: Eukaryota; Metazoa; Chordata; Actinopteri; Perciformes; Percidae.
GACGAGGUGGCCAGUGGUUAAGGCGAUGGACUGCUAAUCCAUUGUGUGCUACGCGGUGGGUUCGAAUCCCAUCCUCGUCG